This 400-nucleotide ribosomal RNA is filed under the name Coptotermes gestroi. RNAcentral describes it as "partial 16S ribosomal RNA". Lineage: Eukaryota; Metazoa; Arthropoda; Insecta; Blattodea; Rhinotermitidae. The record is from RNAcentral.
AAACAUCUUUUCUUGUUAGUUUUUGAAGUAUGGCCUGCCCGCUGACAUUUGGUGUUGAAGGGCCGCGGUAUUUUGACCGUGCAAAGGUAGCAUAAUCAUUAGUUCUUUAAUUGUGAUCUGGAAUGAAUGGCUUGACGAGGCACGGGCUGUCUUAGUGUUGAAUGUUUUAUUGAAUUUGGUCUUUGAGUUAAAAUUCUUAGAUGUUUUUGUGGGACGAGAAGACCCUAUAGAGUUUGACAUUUGGUUUAUUUACUUGUUUGUUGUUUGUUUAUUUUUGGUGAGUGGGCUUUUUGUUUUGUUGGGGUGAUGGGAGGAAUGUACUUAACUCCUCUUAGUUUUGGUUAUAUUGAUUUAUAAUUGUUUGAUCCAUUUAUUUUGAUUGUAAGACUAAAUUACCUUA